UAAAUAGAGGGGUUGUCAUAAAUUGAUUGAUGGGCUUCAAGGGGCAGUUCUGGAGGUAAGUGUAUUACCUUGUUAUUUCUUCCAGUUUCUUGAACAUGGUUUGUUGCUCAUUGUUAUUUUAUUUUGCUGAAUAUUUGUUCUUGGUUUUGGAAUCAAUGUUCUUUUCGUUAUUAGUAUAUUUUAUUGGUCUUGUGGGGUUGUCUUAAAUUUCAUUUUUUUUAUCUCAUUUUUGCUCUUUAAACUUUCUUGAUAACAUUUGCUAUUUUUGUCUUGUGAGGUAGUCUUAGAUUAAAUUUAUGAUCUGGGUGGUGUUUGACAUUUGCUUGUUUAUAUCAUUUAAGUUGUCUUAAAUUUUAUUGUCUGUGGAAGUUGGAAGGAGGACUACAGUGCUUGGGGUUGGAUG
RNAcentral lists this long non-coding RNA (403 nucleotides) under Olea europaea (common olive). Its description in RNAcentral is "long non-coding RNA (OEUR_LNC008269)". Lineage: Eukaryota; Viridiplantae; Streptophyta; Magnoliopsida; Lamiales; Oleaceae. The record is from RNAcentral.